AGAGUUUGAUCAUGGCUCAGAUUGAACGCUGGCGGCAGGCCUAACACAUGCAAGUCGAACGGUAACAGGAAACAGCUUGCUGUUUCGCUGACGAGUGGCGGACGGGUGAGUAAUGUCUGGGAAACUGCCUGAUGGAGGGGGAUAACUACUGGAAACGGUAGCUAAUACCGCAUAACGUCGCAAGACCAAAGAGGGGGACCCUCGGGCCUCUUGCCAUCGGAUGUGCCCAGAUGGGAUUAGCUUGUUGGUGGGGUAACGGCUCACCAAGGCGACGAUCCCUAGCUGGUCUGAGAGGAUGACCAGCCACACUGGAACUGAGACACGGUCCAGACUCCUACGGGAGGCAGCAGUGGGGAAUAUUGCACAAUGGGCGCAAGCCUGAUGCAGCCAUGCCGCGUGUAUGAAGAAGGCCUUCGGGUUGUAAAGUACUUUCAGCGGGGAGGAAGGGAGUAAAGUUAAUACCUUUGCUCAUUGACGUUACCCGCAGAAGAAGCACCGGCUAACUCCGUGCCAGCAGCCGCGGUAAUACGGAGGGUGCAAGCGUUAAUCGGAAUUACUGGGCGUAAAGCGCACGCAGGCGGUUUGUUAAGUCAGAUGUGAAAUCCCCGGGCUCAACCUGGGAACUGCAUCUGAUACUGGCAAGCUUGAGUCUCGUAGAGGGGGGUAGAAUUCCAGGUGUAGCGGUGAAAUGCGUAGAGAUCUGGAGGAAUACCGGUGGCGAAGGCGGCCCCCUGGACGAAGACUGACGCUCAGGUGCGAAAGCGUGGGGAGCAAACAGGAUUAGAUACCCUGGUAGUCCACGCCGUAAACGAUGUCGACUUGGAGGUUGUGCCCUUGAGGCGUGGCUUCCGGAGCUAACGCGUUAAGUCGACCGCCUGGGGAGUACGGCCGCAAGGUUAAAACUCAAAUGAAUUGACGGGGGCCCGCACAAGCGGUGGAGCAUGUGGUUUAAUUCGAUGCAACGCGAAGAACCUUACCUGGUCUUGACAUCCACGGAAGUUUUCAGAGAUGAGAAUGUGCCUUCGGGAACCGUGAGACAGGUGCUGCAUGGCUGUCGUCAGCUCGUGUUGUGAAAUGUUGGGUUAAGUCCCGCAACGAGCGCAACCCUUAUCCUUUGUUGCCAGCGGUCCGGCCGGGAACUCAAGGAGACUGCCAGUGAUAAACUGGAGGAAGGUGGGGAUGACGUCAAGUCAUCAUGGCCCUUACGACCAGGGCUACACACGUGCUACAAUGGCGCAUACAAAGAGAAGCGACCUCGCGAGAGCAAGCGGACCUCAUAAAGUGCGUCGUAGUCCGGAUUGGAGUCUGCAACUCGACUCCAUGAAGUCGGAAUCGCUAGUAAUCGUGGAUCAGAAUGCCACGGUGAAUACGUUCCCGGGCCUUGUACACACCGCCCGUCACACCAUGGGAGUGGGUUGCAAAAGAAGUAGGUAGCUUAACCUUCGGGAGGGCGCUUACCACUUUGUGAUUCAUGACUGGGGUGAAGUCGUAACAAGGUA
RNAcentral lists this ribosomal RNA (1499 nucleotides) under metagenome. RNAcentral's name for it is "bacterial SSU rRNA". It matches the Rfam family "Bacterial small subunit ribosomal RNA". The record is from RNAcentral.